This 139-nucleotide small nucleolar RNA is filed under the name Phascolarctos cinereus (koala). RNAcentral describes it as "Small nucleolar RNA SNORA48 (ENSPCIG00000033239.1)". It matches the Rfam family "Small nucleolar RNA SNORA48". From Rfam's summary of the family: The snoRNA ACA 48 has been identified to guide pseudouridylation of the residue U3797 in the 28S rRNA subunit. Its host gene EIF4A1 (eukaryotic translation initiation factor 4A1) is shared with U67 and snoRNA mgU6-77 Lineage: Eukaryota; Metazoa; Chordata; Mammalia; Diprotodontia; Phascolarctidae. The record is from Rfam by way of RNAcentral.
CACCCCUGACACUGGGUAGAGAGACAUCUCUUUGAUGGUAUUCUCCUCAUAUCAGUCAGGGGCACAGCAGCAGUCCAAGUUCAUCGGAGCUUGAUGCUCUGCUUGGUAGUCAUAGUUGAUUCAUGCCCUGGACACGUAA